RNA transcript from Bicyclus anynana (squinting bush brown), 1260 nucleotides. RefSeq lists it as uncharacterized. NCBI's taxonomy places the organism in Eukaryota, Metazoa, Arthropoda, Insecta, Lepidoptera, Nymphalidae. The transcript has 4 exons. The record is from RefSeq and is a predicted model, not a curated record.
GGUGAGCUUUAAACUUUUAUGCCAAUGGAUCAUACAAAUGGCUUUGUGAUGGCUAAGGCAUCUUUUAGCAAAUGCCUACAUGAAGUCGCUGACGCUCCUGAAUACCCCAGCUGUUUAAAAAAAAUGUGUUAAGUUCCCUUUGCAUUAAACACAAAAUCAUUAUAAAUAAAUAUGUGAUGCCAAUCUAAUAAUAACAUAGUGGAUGCUCAAUUUGGUGGUGCAUCUUAUGACUUGUACAUAUGGAACCAGUGCAAUAAGACCACUUGAGGAAAACCUGCCCAAUAGGGACCGCUGUUGGUUGUUAGGUGACCAAUGUUUGCAUGAUGACCCCCAUCUUGGGAGCUGCUCCUAGAUCCCAUGAAGAUAUGCACAACAUUGCUGUGUCAGAAAUACGGUGGAGCCUUGUAGUUGGGUGCAUAUUGUAAAAUGUUUCCUCACUCCAAAACCAUGAACUCUGGUUUCCUAAACCCUCAAGCUAUGCAGCCGAAGGAGGAGACUUAUCACAGGAGAAUCACUAAUAAUUUUGAAGAAGUGAAGAGCUUAACAAUGUUUCAACCAACACCUAAAGAAGCUUUCACUUGGCUGUUAGAUCAAGGGCUGGAUACAGAAAACAGUAAUCCUUGUGAUGGCAGUAUUGUCCAAGGAUUCCUCACUCAAAACCAUGAUAACAAGUUGCUAGAACCCUCAAGCUAUGCAGACAAAGGACUGGAUAUAUUUUUUCGUGACCAAGCCUUCUGUAUAAUUAUUUAUACUUAAACCAUACAAAGCACUAUCUAGCCCCAAAGUAGGCAUACAGAGUAGCUUGUGUUGUGGGUACUAAGAUAGUUGAUAUUAUAAUAUUCAUUUACAUUUAUAUACUACCUAUAAAUACUUAUAUAAUGUAUAAAUACACACACACUGGAAAAAACCCAUGCUCUUCACACAAAUAUUUUCCAGGUGUGGGAAUCGAACCCAUGACCGUGGAUGCAGGAGCACUACUUACUGCGCCACGCGUAUGUGUUUUUAUUUUGAAGCAAAUUAUUAAAGUUGAUAAUUCAAAUUGUAGUCAUGUUUUUAAUUAAUCUAUAAUUAAUUUUUAAUUUACAUUUUUGUUAAAUAUUUACCUAUACUUCAGUCUAUUUUUGUUAGAGGGGGUACCUAUAUGUGUAAGUAGGGUCGUUUCUUGAUUAAAUUAAACUAAAGAAUGAAAGAUAUAUAUUAUAACAAAAUUUGUCAACAACAAUAUAUCAAGUCUGAAUAAAAAAUACCAACACAAGUAAA